AGUAAUGAAUCGCUAAUGUACCCCGGACUCUGAGAUAGCUGCCCGGAUUACUCCAGGAUUCCGGGACCGUUAACCGCACGGCAUCGUGUGGUUCUCAAAGGUCCGCCGGUCUGGGAGCAGGCGAUUUCGUAUCAGCUAGUUGGUGAGGUAACGGCUCACCAAGGCGACGACGCGUAGCCGGACUGAGAGGUUGGCCGGCCUCAUUGGGACUGAGACACUGCCCAGACUCCUACGGGGGGCUGCAGUAACGAAUCUUCCGCAAUGCACGAAAGUGUGACGGAGCGACGCCGCGUGUGGGACGAAGCCCUUCGGGGUGUAAACCACUGUCAGGGGUUACCAAGUUCUGAGGAGCCCCAGAGGAAGGCACGGCUAACUCUGUGCCAGCAGCCGCGGUAAGACAGAGGUGCCAAGCGUUAGGCGGAAUCACUGGGCUUAAAGCGUGUGUAGGCGGAAUUGUAAGUACCUUGUGAAAUCCCACGGCUCAACCGUGGAACUGCUCGGUAUACUGCUAUUCUUGAGCCACUUAGGGGCUGUCGGAACAAACGGUGGAGCGGUGAAAUGCGUAGAUAUCGUUUGGAACGCCAAAGGUGAAAACAGACAGCUGGGAGUGUGCUGACGCUGAGACACGAAAGCCAGGGGAGCGAACGGGAUUAGAUACCCCGGUAGUCCUGGCCCUAAACGAUGUCGACUAGAUCGUGGUGGCUCUGACGCCAUCACGGUCGAAGCAAAAGUGCUAAGUCGACCGCCUGGGAAGUACGGUCGCAAGGCUAAAACUCAAAGGAAUUGACGGGGGCUCACACAAGCGGUGGAGCAUGUGGUUCAAUUCGAAGCAACGCGCAGAACCUUACCUGGGCUUGACAUGCCAGGAUUAUCCCCAUGAAAGUGGGGUAGGCCCUUCGGGGUACAACUGGUACAGGUGCUGCAUGGCUGUCGUCAGCUCGUGUCGUGAGAUGUCGGGUUAAGUCCCUUAACGAGCGAAACCUUUGCCCUUAGUUACCAGCGGGUUAUGCCGGGGACUCUAAGGGGACUGCCGGUGUCAAACCGGAGGAAGGUGGAGAUGACGUCAAGUCCUCAUGGCCUUUAUGCCCAGGGGUUAUGGCAUUGUCACACACGUGCUACA
RNAcentral lists this ribosomal RNA (1120 nucleotides) under uncultured Planctomycetota bacterium. Its description in RNAcentral is "bacterial SSU rRNA". It matches the Rfam family "Bacterial small subunit ribosomal RNA", at positions 109 to 1229 of the family's 1533-position model. The record is from RNAcentral. Lineage: Bacteria; Pseudomonadati; Planctomycetota.